GUGCUCGCUUCGGCAGGACAUAUAUUAAAAAAUUGGAACGAUACAGAGAAGAUUAGCAUGGCCACUGCGCAAGGAUGACACGCAAAUUCAUGAANCGUUCCAUAUAGAU
This 109-nucleotide small nuclear RNA is filed under the name Salvator merianae (Argentine black and white tegu). Lineage: Eukaryota; Metazoa; Chordata; Lepidosauria; Squamata; Teiidae. The record is from RNAcentral.